Molecule: ribosomal RNA, 948 nt
Filed under: uncultured bacterium
Lineage: Bacteria
Description: bacterial SSU rRNA
Rfam family: Bacterial small subunit ribosomal RNA
Source: RNAcentral
AGAGUUUGAUCAUGGCUCAGAACGAACGCUGGCGGCGUGGAUAAGACAUGCAAGUCGGACGAGAUUUUCUGUUGUAGCAAUACGAUGGAAAGUCUAGUGGCGAACGGGUGCUUAACACGUGGGCAACCUGCCGGGAAGUGGGGGAUAGCUCGCCGAAAGGCGAAUUAAUACCGCAUGUGAUUAGAGAGGACAUCCUUUCGAAAUUAAAGUCGGGGCAACCUGACGCUUCUUGUGGGGCCCGCGGCCUAUCAGCUAGUUGGGGAGGUAACGGCUCACCAAGGCUUUGACGGGUAGCUGGUCUGAGAGGACGACCAGCCACACUGGGACUGAGACACGGCCCAGACACCUACGGGUGGCAGCAGUCGAGAAUUUUUGACAAUGGGGGAAACCCUGAUCGAGCGACGCCGCGUGGAGGAUGAAGGUCUUCGGAUUGUAAACUCCUGUCAUUGGGGAACAAUGCGCAAAUAUUAACUGUAUUUGUGUUGAUAGUACCCGAAGAGGAAGAGACGGCUAACUCUGUGCCAGCAGCCGCGGUAAUACAGAGGUCUCAAGCGUUGUUCGGAUUCAUUGGGCGUAAAGGGUGCGUAGGCGGCGCGGUAAGUCGGGUGUGAAAUCUCGGAGCUUAACUCCGAAACUGCAUUCGAUACUGCCGUGCUUGAGGACUGGAGAGGAGACUGGAAUUUACGGUGUAGCGGUGAAAUGCGUAGAUAUCGUAAGGAAGACCAGUGGCGAAGGCGGGUCUCUGGACAGUUCCUGACGCUGAGGCACGAAGGUCAGGGGAGCAAACGGGAUUAGAUACCCCGGUAGUCCUGACAGUAAACGGUGCACGUUUGGUGUGGGAGGAUUCGACCCCUUCUGCGCCGGAGCUAACGCGUUAAACGUGCCGCCUGGGGAGUACGGUCGCAAGAUUAAAACUCAAAGAAAUUGACGGGGGCCCGCACAAGCGUG